This 462-nucleotide long non-coding RNA is filed under the name Elaeis guineensis (African oil palm). Its description in RNAcentral is "long non-coding RNA (EGUI_LNC017585)". Lineage: Eukaryota; Viridiplantae; Streptophyta; Magnoliopsida; Arecales; Arecaceae. The record is from RNAcentral.
GCUGCUAUUUGUCCUGCUGGUUGAGCGGAGCCCACCAACCCUUCCAUUAUUCUCUCUCCUCAUCUUGCGCAUUCCCAUUCCCAUACGGAGGUCUGAGGAUAUGGAAGACCAAGCUGUCACCUUUCGGCCGUUUCUUGGAGCAAUUCCCCGCAGGAUACGGUGGGCGGCCCCGCCCAUGCCUUCUAAUCGUUGCUGGACCCGAGCCGCUUCUGUCUCCACGGUGUGAACGAGAUUUUGAUAUCUAAGAACAAGCCAAAAGUCGUAUUUUUUGCCGGAUUAGAAGGCCCACGGGUUAGUUUCUAUCGCUUUUCUAACCAGAUUUGAUCUUGUUAUCCGACAAAAUGGGUAAAAAUGCUGUUUUUUUAAUGUAAGCCAGAAAGAUUUCCAGCGGAAUCUAGUUGAAAUCUUGAAUUCUAUUUUUUUUUUAAAGCGGUCAUGAUGACAUCGGUAGAAACAUGCUGU